UAGAUAGAUAGACAGAUAGAUAGAGGAAGAGAAAGAGAAAUAGAAAAGGAAUUAGAGGGAGAUAGACAAUCGAAAAUCGGGAAAGCCGUGCACGAAAACUAGGUCGGAAGGUAAACUCGCGAGAAUGCAGUCUUUCCCGCACACCGUUUCGCAGUCUACUGCACUCUACUGCACGACUAUGCUCGACACACGAUUAGGAUAGCACUCUGUUACUAUACACAUCAUACUUUACUACUAAGGUACUACUAUACAUCACCACCACCACUACUACCACCACCACUACUACCACUAACACUGUUAUUAGUCUGACUUUUUCUUCCAAUGUUUUCUUCCUAUUAGUAUUUUUCUACUACUCUGCUGCUGCUGCUGCUGCUCCUGCUGUUGCUGAUGUUAAUAUGACUACCUAUGCUGUUACGUUUGCUGGUGCUACUACUACUGCUGCCGCUACGGCAGCAAAUAGUCGACUGAUUUAUCCUUCUUUGCCUUUCGCGAUACGCAAACAAACCUACUGCUUCUUUGUGUUUCACGGAAAAAGAGACAAGAACGGUGACAUUAAGUAGGGAGAAUGAUUCAAGAAACUUUCGGAAAAGGAAAAAAGAUAUGGGUUUUAAAGAUUUAAUGUUGAAAUUGCAAAUAAUCGAUAAACAAAAUUCCUAAUUUACCGACUGACCGAUCACUCGUUUGGUAUCUCUUUUUUACGAAAGGUGUCGCUAGUAGCGGUUUUAACUCGUGUCGGUAAAGUAGAUUUCCUAUUAAUGAAACAAGUUUUCAGACUUAAUACUGACAGUAAGUAUUGAUAGUAGAAUAUGUUUUGCAUAUUUUCUUUAUUGCGGUCGCGUCGGUGUUAGAUUUUCUCAUUUUAUUUUAUUUUUUAUUCGUAUUUAUUUUACUUCGUAAAAUAUAUAACUCAUGUUUGAGUUAUUAAUAUCGCGAAUCAAUGCCGUGCAAUAGAAAUAUCAAUGAAUAGUAUAGUAAGUAAUUUCUGAAUAUUGGGAGACUUUUACAAUCAGAUAUACUUUGUUUUUCCUCGUACACUUGCCUUCGUUCGAACGAACGACGACAAAAUUAAACUAUCGAGAUACAAAUCUAUUUUUAAUAUCGUACAUUAGCGUAAAUUAGUUUUUAUUUUUCGAAUAAAAAAUAAAUUAGAAUAAAUCAUUUGUAAUGAAUUUAUUUAACCAUAGUUUGUUAAUCCGAUACGAGUAGUAAAUGAAAUUGAAAAAUGAAUUUCUUUUGAGUGUAUCUGAUUGACAGCGAAUAAUCUUCGACGUGUGGUUGUUGGAAAGAACUCUUGGAACUCUCGGAACUCUGCAUGAACAGAGUGUUAUCGAGUAUUUUGCGCGGGAAACAUUGUAAAGAAAGAAAGAAAGAGAAAGAGAAAGAAAGAAAGAAAGGAAGAAAGAAAGAAAAA
RNAcentral lists this long non-coding RNA (1411 nucleotides) under Polistes fuscatus (common paper wasp). Its description in RNAcentral is "uncharacterized LOC122518537". Lineage: Eukaryota; Metazoa; Arthropoda; Insecta; Hymenoptera; Vespidae. The record is from RNAcentral.